This 669-nucleotide small RNA is filed under the name Pongo abelii (Sumatran orangutan). RNAcentral's name for it is "processed transcript". The record is from RNAcentral. Lineage: Eukaryota; Metazoa; Chordata; Mammalia; Primates; Hominidae.
GGAACAUGUCGGAGUCAGAGCUCGGCAGGAAGUGGGACCGGUGCCUGGCGGAUGCGGUCGUGAAGAUAGGUACUGGUUUUGGAUUAGGAAUUGUUUUCUCACUUACCUUCUUUAAAAGAAGAAUGUGGCCAUUAGCCUUUGGUUCCGGCAUGGGAUUAGGAAUGGCUUAUUCCAACUGUCAGCAUGAUUUCCAGGCUCCAUAUCUUCUACAUGGAAAAUAUGUCAAAAGCCUGCUCAAACCGUCAGCUGCCUGCAGCCAGCCCAUGUCUGCUGGAGAGAUGGGAGUAGGGGAGCCAUCUCUGCGCCAAAGUAAGAGUGAGGUCAUCACAGGGACCACGCAAGCAGAGGCACAGCUGCGUGGCACUGAAGCUGGCAGCCGGCCUUUUCCACCGCUCCCUGGCUCCUCGCUUUCCUGGCACCAGAGCUGAUUGUGGGGAGAACCGAAAGGAGCAGACAGAGAAGCUUCAGGAGCAGGAGCAGUGACUUCACCUGAGAACAUCCCAGCGGGAGGACAAGAGAAAUCAUGUUUAUUCCUCAGGAAUACUGAAGUGCCCUGGAGUAAGCUGCCAUUCUUCUGUAACAGCGUUAUCAGUAAUGCUUUAAACUCCAGCACCUGGUUAUGUAUUUGAAACCAAGUCUGUUUCUUGUUUUGUAUUUUCUCUCUGGAAG